Molecule: ribosomal RNA, 301 nt
Filed under: uncultured bacterium
Lineage: Bacteria
Description: partial 16S ribosomal RNA
Rfam family: Bacterial small subunit ribosomal RNA
Source: RNAcentral
CAGUCGCCGCGGUAAUACGAAGGGGGCUAGCGUUGCUCGGAAUCACUGGGCGUAAAGGGUGCGUAGGCGGGUCUUUAAGUCAGGGGUGAAAUCCUGGAGCCCAACUCCAGAACUGCCUUUGAUACUGAAGAUCUUGAGUUCGGGAGAGGUGAGUGGAACUGCGAGUGUAGAGGUGAAAUUCGUAGAUAUUCGCAAGAACACCAGUGGCGAAGGCGGCUCACUGGCCCGAUACUGACGCUGAGGCACGAAAGCGUGGGGAGCAAACAGGAUUAGAUACCCGAGUAGUCCCUGUCUCUUAUAC